CUANCGCUGGCGGCAUGCCUNANACAUAGUUACCGAACUGGCAGCGCGGGGAAGCUUGCUUCCCUGGCGGCGAGUGGCGAACGGGUGAGUAACACAUCGGAACGUACCGGCUAGUGGGGGAUAACCCGUCGAAAGACGGGCUAAUACCGCAUACGCUCUUAGGAGGAAAGCAGGGGACCUUCGGGCCUUGCGCUAGCCGAGCGGCCGAUGUCCGAUUAGCUAGUUGGUGGGGUAAAGGCCUACCAAGGCGACGAUCGGUAGCGGGUCUGAGAGGACGAUCCGCCACACUGGGACUGAGACACGCCCAGACUCCUACGGGAGGCAGCAGUGGGGAAUCUUGACAAUGGGGGCAACCCUGAUCCAGCAAUGCCGCGUGGGUGAAGAAGGCCUUCGGGUUGUAAAGCCCUUUCGGCAGGGAAGAAAUCGGCAGGGCGAAUAACCCUGCUGGAUGACGGUACCUGCAGAAGAAGCACCGGCUAACUACGUGCCAGCAGCCGCGGUAAUACGUAGGGUGCGAGCGUUAAUCGGAUUUACUGGCUAAACUCAGGCGGCCCGUUAAGACAGGUGUGAAAUCCCUGGGCUCAACCUAGGAAUUGCGCUUGUGACUGGCUCGAGUACGGUAGAGGGGGGUGGAAUUCCUGGUGUAGCACUGAAAGAGAUCAGGAGAACACCGAUGGCGAAGGUAGCCUGGGCCUGUAUAGACGCUCAUGCACGAAACUGGGGAGCAAACAGGAUUAGAUACCAUGUUAUCCACGCCCUAAACGAUGGGUACUAGGCGUUUGGUGCAUUGAAGCGCUGAGUGGCGAAUUAAUGUGUAAAGUACCCCGCCUGGGGAGUACGGCCGUAAGGCAAGGUUGAAACUCAAAGGAAUUGACGGGGACCCGCACAACGGUGGAUGAUGUGGAUUAAUUCGAUGCAACGCGAAGAACCUUACCUACCCUUGACAUGCCCCGACCUGGGAGAGAUCCUGGGGUGCCCGAAAGGGAACGGGGACACAGGUGCUGCAUGGCUGUCGUCAGCUCGUGUCGUGAGAUAUGUUGGGUACCCUUAUGGGUAGGGCUUCACACGUCAUACAAGUGCGCGUACAGAGGGCACGAAGCCGCGAGGUGGAGCCAAUCCCAGAAAGCGCGUCGUAGUCCGGAUUGCAGUCUGCAACUCGACUGCAUGAAGUCGGAAUCGCUAGUAAUCGCGGAUCAGCAUGCCGCGGUGAAUACGUUCCCGGGUCUUGUACACACCGCCCGUCACACCAUGGGAGUGGGGUGCACCAGAAGUCGGUAGCCUAACCGCAAGGAGGUCGCCGCCCANGGUGUGCUCCAUGACUGGGG
RNAcentral lists this ribosomal RNA (1325 nucleotides) under Hydrogenophilus sp. Mar3. Its description in RNAcentral is "16S ribosomal RNA". It matches the Rfam family "Bacterial small subunit ribosomal RNA". The record is from RNAcentral. Lineage: Bacteria; Pseudomonadati; Pseudomonadota; Hydrogenophilia; Hydrogenophilales; Hydrogenophilaceae.